This 243-nucleotide ribosomal RNA is filed under the name uncultured bacterium. RNAcentral describes it as "partial small subunit ribosomal RNA". It matches the Rfam family "Bacterial small subunit ribosomal RNA", at positions 26 to 286 of the family's 1533-position model. The record is from RNAcentral.
AGAAUCAACGCUGGCGGCGUGCCUAACACAUGCAAGUCGAACGAGAAAGUGGAGCAAUCCAUGAGUAAAGUGGCGACCGGGUGAGUAACACGUGACUAACCUACCUUCGAGUGGGGAAUAACCUCGGGAAACCGGGCUAAUACCGCAUAAUGUCUUCGGACCAAAGGAGCAAUUCGCUGGAAGAGGGGUCGCGGCCGAUUAGCUAGUUGGCGGGUAACGGCCCACCAAGGCAAUGAUCGGUAG